Homo sapiens (human) is the source of this 2158-nucleotide long non-coding RNA. Ensembl annotates it as colorectal neoplasia differentially expressed. Its record names the gene CRNDE. The record is from Ensembl. NCBI's taxonomy places the organism in Eukaryota, Metazoa, Chordata, Mammalia, Primates, Hominidae.
GCCCGCCGGGGGCUCGCGCCAGCCACGAGGGAGCGUCCGCGGCCCGCGCGCCCGCGCGGCGGAGGAGAGGUGUUAAGUGUGAUGCUUCCAUAAUACAUUUGGAUGCUGUCAGCUAAGUUCACUUCUGAACUAAGGGGUUCCUCCAAAUGUUGGCUGAAAUUCAUCCCAAGGCUGGUCUGCAAGUGAGUGUCUGCACACAGUUUGCUUGUAUGUGGAGUCGAUCCAAAAUAGCAUCAAUGUUGGUUUUACCAAAGUAUUUAUUAUUGAUAAUAGAGGCUAAGUACAAAAUGUAGAGAAUGUCAGCUACUUGAGGCCUUUGAUUAUUAAAAAUUUUAUUAAUGCAUUAAACAAGAGUACAGUAAAUAGAUAAAUUUUAGGUUCAUGAAAUAAAACUGAAUAAUUUAUUUUUACUUACUAUUUAUCAUGGAAUUACUUUGAAUAAUUUAUUUUUAAUGGUAUAAUUGGACAGUAAAAUUUAUAAACUCAGUGCUUUUCAUAAAAAUCAAAGUGAAGUUUGUAAUAUUUUAUACAAAUAGAAUUAUUAUUUAAGAGAAAUAACCUGUUUAUGCCUAAUUACAGUUUUUAAUCAUUUCAGUUACCUAUUUCUUUUAAGAAUAAAUUUAGUGGGAAUAUCAGUUCCAGUCAUGGGUACCAAACUUUUUUAGUGACAGAGUACACACAGGUAUGUAAAACUUGUCAUUUCUCAUCAAAUAGAGGCUGCUGAAUAUAGGCAGGUAAGAAAAGCUAUGAGAAAGAAUUGUUUUGCAGAAUAUUUGUCUAGUUGUCAGAGCAAGGAACUGAAUUUAUUGACACAGAACAUUUUAUUAAGUAAAAAAAAUGGUUCUUAUAACAAAAAAAAAAGCUAAUUUUACAGAAGGCAGUAGUUAAUAUAGCCGCCAAUAAAAUAAAUGUUUCUCUGAAUACUUUCCGAGGCAUUACAGUGAUUUUUAACUAAUAUGAAGUGAUAUAUAAUAAUUUUAAAGUAACAUCCUUGAGUUUUCCUAUUAUUAAUUGCUUAUGGAAAUUGGGUUUCACGUAUGACUGAGAGCUAAAGCAUUACAGUGAGUUAGAAAACACAACACAAAUGUAAAGAAAAUGUUAGGUGGUGAGUAAUCUGAUUCCUUUUUGUUUGCCUUUAAGCUUAGUUUUUUGUUUUGUUUUACUUUGUUUUAAACCAUGUAUAAAAUUGUUGAAUUUAAAAGAUAAGAGGAUUAAGUAAUUUCUUUUUUCCUCCUAAGGAUAAAUGUAGGAAAAAUCUAAACACAUAGGCAGAUUGGUUGAGUUUUAUAUCUGUUAUCGGCCACAUUUAUUAAGAUUCAUAUUUCAUGUAUAUUAGAGGUAUUCACAUGUAUUAAAAUUCUUAUAUUCCUUCUAUAUAAAAUAGAUGUAGGGGGUUCCCACUCUUGAAAAUAUGAAGAAAAGAUGUCCUUUCAGCAAUAAUGGGUUAUGGUUGAUUAACUGAGAAGGUUGUAUUAAACGUUCUCUAGUAGAAAUGGCUAAAGAGCAUGCUUUUUGAGAAGUGUAUCAUCUAGGAAGAAAAUCAAAUGGAGUAUUGGUAAUUAAAUUGUAAUUCCAUGAAGGAAGGAAGUGGUGCAAAAGAUGAAGCUAACUAUUCCUGUUUUUCUUUUUAAGAGUCUGCAAUUCAUAAUGGAGCUACUGUACUGGCUAUUGGAAGGAGGAGAUUCUGAAGAUAAGGAGGUAAAACCUGUUUAGAAAUUAAAAAUGAGUUACGAUUUAAAGAAAAUUCAGAUGACUCAUUGUGAGUGCUAGUUCUCUUGUAGGAUGCCACUGGAAAUGUUGAAAUGAAAAAUAUUCAGCCGUUGGUCUUUGAAAUUUCCUGUGAUGUGUUUCAAUCUAGAUGCAAAGAACAUGGAAAAAUCAAAGUGCUCGAGUGGUUUAAAUAUGUUUUGGGUAUUCCUGUUUAUAGACUAUAAUACUUUUCCAAUUAAAAUCCUCAGUUGUCACGCAGAAGAAGGUUAAGCUGUAUUUGAUUGCCAGUUUUACUGAAAAUGCUUAGUAUUUUACAGUAUCACCAAAUAUAUUUUGUUUAGCCAAGGUAUAGGAAAAAUAAAAUAAAUUGUAUAGGUUGACUUUUUUCUAAAAUGUCUUUAUUGGAUUGAAUGAAUGUUUAUACCUGAAAAAAAAAGGUUCAAAAAAA